RNAcentral lists this ribosomal RNA (773 nucleotides) under uncultured bacterium. Its description in RNAcentral is "bacterial SSU rRNA". It matches the Rfam family "Bacterial small subunit ribosomal RNA", at positions 8 to 798 of the family's 1533-position model. The record is from RNAcentral.
AGAGUUUGAUCAUGGCUCAGGACGAACGCUGGCGGCGUGCUUAACACAUGCAAGUCGAACGGAAAGGCCCUUCGGGGUACUCGAGUGGCGAACGGGUGAGUAACACGUGGGUGAUCUGCCCUGCACUUUGGGAUAAGCCUGGGAAACUGGGUCUAAUACCGAAUAUGACCACGCUCUUCAUGGGGUGUGGUGGAAAGCUUUUGCGGUGUGGGAUGGGCCCGCGGCCUAUCAGCUUGUUGGUGGGGUAAUGGCCUACCAAGGCGACGACGGGUAGCCGGCCUGAGAGGGUGACCGGCCACACUGGGACUGAGAUACGGCCCAGACUCCUACGGGAGGCAGCAGUGAGGAAUAUUGCACAAUGGGCGCAAGCCUGAUGCAGCGACGCCGCGUGAGGGAUGACGGCCUUCGGGUUGUAAACCUCUUUCACCAGGGACGAAGCGCAAGUGACGGUACCUGGAGAAGAAGCACCGGCCAACUACGUGCCAGCAGCCGCGGUAAUACGUAGGGUGCGAGCGUUGUCCGGAAUUACUGGGCGUAAAGAGCUCGUAGGUGGUUUGUCGCGUUGUUCGUGAAAACUCACAGCUUAACUGUGGGCGUGCGGGCGAUACGGGCAGACUAGAGUACUGCAGGGGAGACUGGAAUUCCUGGUGUAGCGGUGGAAUGCGCAGAUAUCAGGAGGAACACCGGUGGCGAAGGCGGGUCUCUGGGCAGUAACUGACGCUGAGGAGCGAAAGCGUGGGGAGCGAACAGGAUUAGAUACCCUGGUAGUCCAA